This 496-nucleotide ribosomal RNA is filed under the name uncultured bacterium. RNAcentral describes it as "partial 16S ribosomal RNA". It matches the Rfam family "Bacterial small subunit ribosomal RNA", at positions 28 to 506 of the family's 1533-position model. The record is from RNAcentral.
GAUGAACGCUGGCGGCGUGCCUAAUACAUGCAAGUCGAGCGAACGGACGAGAAGCUUGCUUCUCUGAUGUUAGCGGCGGACGGGUGAGUAACACGUGGAUAACCUACCUAUAAGACUGGGAUAACUUCGGGAAACCGGAGCUAAUACCGGAUAAUAUUUUGAACCGCAUGGUUCAAAAGUGAAAGACGGUCUUGCUGUCACUUAUAGAUGGAUCCGCGCUGCAUUAGCUAGUUGGUAAGGUAACGGCUUACCAAGGCAACGAUGCAUAGCCGACCUGAGAGGGUGUCGGCACACACGGAAACUGAGCACCGGUACGAACCCCCAGGGGGGGCAGCAGGGGGGAAUUUUACACAGGGGGCGAACCCUUAACGGAGCAACGCCGGGUGGGGAAAGAAGGGUUUCGGAUCGUAAAACUUUUUUUUUAGGAAAAAACAUAUGUGAAAGUAACUGUGCCCCUUUGGACGGAACCUAAUAAAAAAGCCGCGGAAAACUAGGU